AACUUUCGGCAAUGGAUCUCUUGGCUCUAGCAUCGAUGAAGAACGCAGCGAAAUGCGAUAAGUAGUGUGAAUUGCAGAAUUCAGCGAACCAUCGAAUCUUUGAACGCACCUUGCGCCCGCCGGUAACCCGGCGGGCACGCCUGUCCGAGCGUCGUCAGAAUCUCUCGAGCCCUAGAGCUCGGCGUUAGGGGAACGUCCCGCCUUAUAGUGACGGCGACGCCCCUAAAAUUUAGUGAGCAGUGCCCGCCCUAGGGGCCUCCCGCGUAGUAAAUAACUGCCCUAAUCCUUUACCGGACGACGGCACGCGCCGAGAAACCAGGGCAUACGCUAGCCGUAAGUUAUCUUUAGCACAGUCUGACCUCGGAUCAGGUGGGAAUACCCGCUGAACUUAAACAUAUCAAUAAGCGGAGGCU
Molecule: unclassified non-coding RNA, 413 nt
Filed under: uncultured Ascomycota
Lineage: Eukaryota; Fungi; Ascomycota
Description: sequence contains ITS2
Rfam family: 5.8S ribosomal RNA (bases 1-154)
Source: RNAcentral